GAGCCCUACAGAGAGAGGAGGGCCGAUUCAUUUGUGUGUUCUUGCAAACAGUGGACGUGAUGUUCAGCUCUGAAAUCGCUGUGCUUGUUUAACCGCAUCUAUCUGUGCAGAGAACAUCACCACCUGCUGACCGAAAAUGGUGGUUGAGGGUCACCAGUGGAUGUGUUGGUUUUUUUUUUUUUGUUACCUUUCCCUUCCGGAGCAGACGUCUGAUCUCCACUCGGUCCAGGUGCCAGCCCGGGUUGACCCCCCGGUUGUCAUGGCCGAUCCGGAUCUUUUCAAUUACAUCCCCCACAUCUUCUAGCUGCGCAGAAAGCAGAAAUAAACGACCUGAAUGCAUUGAA
This is a non-coding RNA of Gasterosteus aculeatus aculeatus (three-spined stickleback), 344 nucleotides long. The record is from RefSeq and is a predicted model, not a curated record. NCBI's taxonomy places the organism in Eukaryota, Metazoa, Chordata, Actinopteri, Perciformes, Gasterosteidae.